GGCCUUGACAUACUAGAACUUUCCAGAGAUGGAUUGGUGCCUUCGGGAACUUAGAUACAGGUGCUGCAUGGCUGUCGUCAGCUCGUAUCGUGAGAUGUUGGGUUAAGUCCCGCAACGAGCGCAACCCUUUUUCCUUAUUUGCCAGCGGGUCAUGCCGGGAACUUUAAGGAUACUGCCAGUGACAAACUGGAGGAAGGCGGGGACGACGUCAAGUCAUCAUGGCCCUUACGGCCAGGGCUACACACGUGCUACAAUGGUCGGUACAAAGGGUUGCUACCUCGCGAGAGGAUGCUAAUCUCAAAAAGCCGAUCGUAGUCCGGAUCGCAGUCUGCAACUCGACUGCGUGAAGUCGGAAUCGCUAGUAAUCGCGGAUCAGAAUGCCGCGGUGAAUACGUUCCCGGGCCUUGUACACACCGCCCGUCACACCAUGGGAGUUUGUUGCACCAGAAGUAGGUAGUCUAACCGCAAGGAGGACGCUUACCACGGUGUGGCCGAUGACUGGGGUGAAGUCGUAACAAGGUAGGCGUAGAUGA
RNAcentral lists this ribosomal RNA (533 nucleotides) under uncultured bacterium. Its description in RNAcentral is "bacterial SSU rRNA". It matches the Rfam family "Bacterial small subunit ribosomal RNA", at positions 977 to 1509 of the family's 1533-position model. The record is from RNAcentral.